GUAGGGAAUAUUGCGCAAUGGGGGAAACCCUGACGCAGCAACGCCGCGUGAGUGAGGAAGGUCUUCGGAUUGUAAAACUCUUUUAUUAGGGAAAAAUGUCUAGGUGGCUAAUAUCCACUUAGAGUGAUGGUACCUAAGGAAUAAGCACCGGCUAACUUCGUGCCAGCAGCCGCGGUAAUACGAAGGGUGCAAGCGUUGUUCGGAAUCAUUGGGCGUAAAGCGCGCGCAGGCGGGUCAGUAAGUCAGGUGUGAAAUCUCGGAGCUCAACUCCGAAACUGGGCCUGAAACUAUUGGUCUAGAGUAUCGGAGGGGACAGGGGAAUUUCACGUGUAGGGGUAAAAUCCGUAGAGAUGUGAAGGAACACCGGAGGCGAAGGCGCCUGUCUGGACGAUUACUGACGCUGAGGCGCGAAAGCGUGGGGAGCAAACAGGAUUAGAUACCCGAGUAGUCC
This 451-nucleotide ribosomal RNA is filed under the name uncultured bacterium. RNAcentral's name for it is "partial 16S ribosomal RNA". It matches the Rfam family "Bacterial small subunit ribosomal RNA", at positions 354 to 796 of the family's 1533-position model. The record is from RNAcentral.